CCUACGGGAGGCAGCAGUGAGGAAUAUUGGUCAAUGGCCGUAAGGCUGAACCAGCCAAGUCGCGUGAAGGAAGAAGGAUCUAUGGUUUGUAAACUUCUUUUAUAGGGGAAUAAAGGUAUCCACGUGUGGAUAUUUGCAUGUACCCUAUGAAUAAGCAUCGGCUAACUCCGUGCCAGCAGCCGCGGUAAUACGGAGGAUGCGAGCGUUAUCCGGAUUUAUUGGGUUUAAAGGGUGCGUAGGCGGCCUUUUAAGUCAGCGGUGAAAGUCUGUGGCUCAACCAUAGAAUUGGCGUUGAAACUGGGGGGCUUGAGUAUGUUUGAGGCAGGCGGAAGGCGUGGUGUAGCGGUGAAAUGCUUAGAUAGAACGGAGAAACACGAUUGCGAAGGCAGCCUGCCAAGCCAUGACUGACGCUGAUGGACGAAAGCGUGGGGAUCAAACAGGAAUAGAUACCCUUGUAGUC
This 460-nucleotide ribosomal RNA is filed under the name uncultured bacterium. RNAcentral's name for it is "partial 16S ribosomal RNA". It matches the Rfam family "Bacterial small subunit ribosomal RNA", at positions 338 to 795 of the family's 1533-position model. The record is from RNAcentral.